UAAGGUCCCUAAAUAUAAGCUAAGUGUAACGAAAGUUGUCUGCAACCGAAGACAGCGGGGAGGUAGGCUCAGA
This 73-nucleotide ribosomal RNA is filed under the name Nanobdellota archaeon. RNAcentral describes it as "partial 23S ribosomal RNA". Lineage: Archaea; Nanobdellati; Nanobdellota. The record is from RNAcentral.